AUAAGAUCCCUCAAAGAUGAUGAGGUUAAUAGGUUCGGGGUGUAAGCGCAGUAAUGUGUGUAGCUGACGAAUACUAAUCGAUCGAAGACUUAAUCAAAUU
This 100-nucleotide ribosomal RNA is filed under the name Mammaliicoccus sciuri. RNAcentral describes it as "Staphylococcus sciuri partial 23S ribosomal RNA". It matches the Rfam family "Bacterial large subunit ribosomal RNA", at positions 2828 to 2925 of the family's 2925-position model. Lineage: Bacteria; Bacillati; Bacillota; Bacilli; Caryophanales; Staphylococcaceae. The record is from RNAcentral.